CUUUCUACUGCUAGGAUAAACAUCAUGACCGAAAGCAACUUAGAGGGAAAAGGUUUAUUUAACUAACUCUUCCAGUCAAUGUUUUUCAGCACACGAGGGACUCAGUGGUUGAAGAAACAGUGUGCCUCCAACUCCAUCAUAUGUCACAGAGAAAGCAGCGAGUGGGUUUGAGAACCUCCAAAAUCAAGGACAUUUGAAGCAGACUCUUCAGUGGAAAAGAGACAUCUGACUUCUUUGCUGCUGAGGUUUUCUCAUUCCCUCUGGAUCUGCUGGGACCUCAUUCCAGUAAUAAAGAUUUUCACUGAUCACUCAA
This is a long non-coding RNA of Peromyscus eremicus (cactus mouse), 313 nucleotides long. RefSeq lists it as uncharacterized. The record is from RefSeq and is a predicted model, not a curated record. Lineage: Eukaryota; Metazoa; Chordata; Mammalia; Rodentia; Cricetidae. The transcript is spliced from 3 exons.